UUUGUCUCUCUCUCCUUCCGUUGGCUUCGCGCUUCGUCUUCUUCCGUCAUCCAUCGCUGUUUCAGCUUUGAAUCAGUGGAGACAAUAGCGAAGAAGAAGGUGGAGGAUGUUACGCCCAUUGCAACCGGACACGAGAAGGAGGAGCUUGAAGCUGAACUUGAGGGGAGGAGGCUGCUUAACAUUGACUUUCCUGAAGGUCCCUUCAGAACAAGGAGCAGCUAGAAUUGGUGCGGGAGGAGAUUCGUGUUUGGUCUCUGUUCAACCAUACUAAUCUGCUUCCUCUUCUUGACCAUGCCAUUAUUUCUGUUAAGGUAAGUGUAAGCAUACGACUCUGAAACUUACAUGGCUGAUGUUUUUUUUUAAAUGUUUUUGCUUGUUUUUUUUUCUUGGGGGUGUUCACUUUGGCUCUGGCUUUUGUCGUUGGAUUGACAUGUGCCUUCACCAAUGGGAAAGUGAUUCUAGAGUCAGCGAUCUUGACAACGGUUGUGGUGCUUUCCCUCACCGUGUACACCUUCUAGGCUGCUAAGAGAGGAUAUGACUUCAACUUCCUCGGACCAUUCUUGUUCGGUGCUCUCAUCGUGCUCAUUGUCUUUGCCAUGAUACAAGUAAUGCCACUUAUUCCAAACUCUAUGCCAUAAGAAUUACAGAGAGUGAGAGAGUUUUAAUCUUAGCUAGUGAAAUGUAGUAGCGUUUUGGUUGUAUUUUCAGCUACAAGUAAGAAACUUGCACCUAGUGCAACUAAUCGGUUUUCAUCAAUAAUUGAAAAAAAAAUUUAAGAA
This is a long non-coding RNA of Brassica oleracea var. oleracea, 779 nucleotides long. RefSeq lists it as uncharacterized. The record is from RefSeq and is a predicted model, not a curated record. Lineage: Eukaryota; Viridiplantae; Streptophyta; Magnoliopsida; Brassicales; Brassicaceae. The transcript has 4 exons.